This 465-nucleotide ribosomal RNA is filed under the name uncultured bacterium. RNAcentral describes it as "bacterial SSU rRNA". It matches the Rfam family "Bacterial small subunit ribosomal RNA", at positions 9 to 507 of the family's 1533-position model. The record is from RNAcentral.
CGAGUUUGAUCCUGGCUCAGAUUGAACGCUGGCGGCAGGCCUAACACAUGCAAGUCGAGCGGCAGCACUUCGGGUGGCGAGCGGCGGACGGGUGAGUAACACGUAGGAAUCUACCUAGUAGUGGGGGAUAGCCCGGGGAAACUCGGAUUAAUACCGCAUACGCUCUACGGAGGAAAGGGGGCUUCAGCUCUCGCUAUUAGAUGAGCCUGCGUCGGAUUAGCUAGUUGGUAGGGUAAAGGCCUACCAAGGCUACGAUCCGUAACUGGUCUGAGAGGAUGAUCAGUCACACUGGAACUGAGACACGGCCCAGACUCCUACGGGAGGCAGCAGUGGGGAAUAUUGGACAAUGGGGGCAACCCUGAUCCAGCCAUGCCGCGUGAGUGAUGAAGGCCCUAGGGUUGUAAAGCUCUUUUGUGCGGGAAGAUAAUGACGGUACCGCAAGAAUAAGCCCCGGCUAACUUCGUG